Long non-coding RNA from Coregonus clupeaformis (lake whitefish), 640 nucleotides. RefSeq lists it as uncharacterized. The record is from RefSeq and is a predicted model, not a curated record. The transcript is spliced from 3 exons. Lineage: Eukaryota; Metazoa; Chordata; Actinopteri; Salmoniformes; Salmonidae.
UUGGGGUGGUGGAUGGGCCAAUAAAAGAUAAAUAAAAAAGAAACACACAGCAAUAUUUACAAACACCAAAGGAUUAAAAACAAUAAGGGGAAAAAAGAAGAAGAAAAACCUCCAUUCUGAAUUAAGGCAAAUCUAACGUUAGUCGUUUAAUAUUUUCAGCCCGGCCAAGAGAGGAAAAACACUGGCUCAUGUUGUUCCAGCUGGGUUCUGUAAGGGGGCAGUGCACGGAGAUAUUGGCCAGCCAGACGUGGAUGUGUCUUGUGAAAUAUUCCACCCAAAGGGCAUUGAUGUUGUCUAGGACAUGCCCCCCCUCGACCCAUAAAGAGCCCUGAAGUCCACAUCUCUGUUCCAGAAGUUCCCAUCAUCAUCAUCCCCUACUGCCCCACAGCACCCCUCCUGUUCUGGAGGAAACCCAACCACAACCGUUUGACCCCAGUGUCCUGGUCGACCCUAUCCCCACCCAACCCCAUCUCCGUUACAUUUUCAUCCUCCAGCAUGUCUCAGGAGACUCCAGUCUUUAAAGUCUCUCCAGACUCUCCAGGAGUUCCAGACUCGUCCUCAGAGGAGCUUGGCGACGCUGUAGCUCGGCCGCCCAUCAACUUCCUCAGUGGCCACAUGGGUGGAAUGUUAUUAAUAUUUU